RNAcentral lists this ribosomal RNA (446 nucleotides) under uncultured bacterium. RNAcentral describes it as "partial 16S ribosomal RNA". It matches the Rfam family "Bacterial small subunit ribosomal RNA", at positions 329 to 792 of the family's 1533-position model. The record is from RNAcentral.
CGCCAGACUCCUACGGGAGGCAGCAGUGGGGAAUAUUGCACAAUGGGGGAAACCCUGAUGCAGCGACGCCGCGUGAGCGAAGAAGUACCUCGGUAUGUAAAGCUCUAUCAGCAGGGAAGAAGAUGACGGUACCUGACCAAGAAGCUCCGGCUAAAUACGUGCCAGCAGCCGCGGUAAUACGUAUGGUGCAAGCGUUAUCCGGAAUGACUGGGUGUAAAGGGAGCGUAGACGGUUGUACAAGUCUGAUGUGAAAGCCCACGGCUCAACUGUGGGAGUGCAUUGGAAACUGUAGAACUAGAGUAUCGGAGAGGCAAGUGGAAUUCCUAGUGUAGCGGUGAAAUGCGUAGAUAUUAGGAGGAACACCAGUGGCGAAGGCGGCCUGCUGGGCUUUAACUGACGCUGAGGCUCGAAAGCGUGGGGAGCAAACAGGAUUAGAUACCCCAGUA